UACAGAGGUCCCAAGCGUUGUUCGGAUUCACUGGGCGUAAAGGGUGCGUAGGCGGCCUGGUAAGUCUGUUGUGAAAUCUCCAAGCUUAACUUGGAAACUGCAGUGGAUACUAUCCGGCUAGAGGAAUGGAGGGGAGACUGGAAUACUUGGUGUAGCAGUGAAAUGCGUAGAUAUCAAGUGGAACACCAGUGGCGAAGGCGAGUCUCUGGACAUUUCCUGACGCUGAGGCACGAAAGCGUGGGGAGCAAACAGG
This 253-nucleotide ribosomal RNA is filed under the name uncultured bacterium. Its description in RNAcentral is "partial 16S ribosomal RNA". It matches the Rfam family "Bacterial small subunit ribosomal RNA", at positions 524 to 776 of the family's 1533-position model. The record is from RNAcentral.